AUAUCAGUCAUGCAUAGCAUAUCAAUAAGCGGAGGAAAAGAAACUAACAAGGAUUCCCUUAGUAACGGCGAGUGAAGCGGGAAGAGCUCAAAUUUGAAAUCUUCAAGGUUCUACCUUGACGAAUUGUAGUUUAUAGAAGUGUUUUCUGUUAGUGGAGUGGCAAAAGUUCUUUGGAAUAGGACAUCAUAGAGGGUGAGAAUCCCGUAUUUGGUCAUUCCUCCUAGCGUUGUGAUACACUUUCAACGAGUCGGAUUGUUUGGGAAUGCAGUCCAAAAUGGGUGGUAAAUUUCAUCUAAAGCUAAAUAUUGGCGAGAGACCGAUAGCGAACAAGUACCGUAAGGGAAAGAUGAAAAGAACUUUGAAAAGAGAGUUAAACAGUACGUGAAAUUGUCAAAAGGGAAGCGUUUGACACCAGUGUUGUUUUUCCGAAAAUCAAUUACGAAUGUUUUGUUUUUAAGAAGUUAUGACUUCAUCGGCUUGCUUCUCUCUUUACGAAACUUUCUUAAUGCACUUUUCGGUUAACAAGUCAACAUCAAUUUCUUUUGUUGUAAAAGGGUAUGAGGAAGGUGGCUUUCUUUUCGGAGAAAGUGUUUAUAGCCUCGUAGCCUCUGCAAUCGGAGAGAUUGAGGUCUGCAGCGUAGAUCCUUCGGGGUUAGAUACAGUUUGUGCUAAGUUAUAGCUUUUCAUAGACAACUUGUUGACUAUGUUUAGUCUUGUAGCUUACUCGCUUAUGCUAUUUUACCUACGCUUAGGAUGUUGAUCUCUCACAGUCGAGC
Molecule: ribosomal RNA, 776 nt
Filed under: uncultured Neocallimastigales
Lineage: Eukaryota; Fungi; Neocallimastigomycota; Neocallimastigomycetes; Neocallimastigales
Description: partial large subunit ribosomal RNA
Rfam family: Eukaryotic large subunit ribosomal RNA
Source: RNAcentral